Molecule: long non-coding RNA, 1101 nt
Filed under: Anas zonorhyncha (Eastern spot-billed duck)
Lineage: Eukaryota; Metazoa; Chordata; Aves; Anseriformes; Anatidae
Description: lncRNA (ENSAZOG00000011168.1)
Source: RNAcentral
CGUUAUGGGGGGAGCGGGGCCGGGGGGAGCUGCGUUGAGUCAUUCCCCUCCCGGCAGGGCCCCUCGAACCGGAGGCUCCACGGCCGCCACGCGGGUGAGGGAAACCAUUCACACCCUGGCUCCUCUCCUGGCCCCGGUGCAAACCCGGGGGCCCCCGGCCUGCAAACCCAUGCCCGGCGCAGGACCUUUGCACCGGGACCCCGUGUGCCGUGGGGCUGUGUUCCCAGGGUGCAGAACCCGUCCCCGUCCCCCCACCACCCCAGGGGGCACCCGGAGCCAGGGUGGCAGCCCCAGCGCACAGCCGAACAAGCGAGGGCUGUGUGCCGCCUGGCAGCGGGCGCACGCGUGCGCGAGCCUGGCCAGACACCGCUUUUCCAUUUACACCCUCGUAAACUGACGGCAGCUGGGGGAAACCACAGCAUCGCUGACGGCCCCGCUUGCCCCCAGGGCCGGGUGCUGAGCCCUGAGGCCGGGCAGCCCCUGUCGAGAGCGGCAGCUCCGCUCGGUGCUGGGACAGAAGCCCCCUCCCCAUCCCAGCCCUGGGUCUUGCAGGGCUUGCGGAGCGCCGUUCGCCGCACUACGUGCUUUUUGGCAGUGCCAGCUGCAAGGAACUCCCCAUUCCUGGCAGGCGUGGAGGAAUGCAAACAGAGCUGUCAUCCUUGGAGGAAUUCCUGCUGCAGCCGCAGGCCCGGGGGCUGCUCGCCGCCCCACGCGCGUCGCUGCGGUGAGCCGGGUUGGCGGGCGGCCCUCCAGCAGCGAGGGGAGAGCUCGUGCCCUGCCGGGCCGGGGACAUGUCCUGCUGACAGCCUGGGCUCCUGCGCUGCCGCUUUCUGCUGCACUGCCCAGGACGCAGCCGGCCGGGGGCUGUCCCCAGACACGCUGUGGCACAGCAGGAGGGGGGCACCAGUGCCAUGGGGCUCUGCCUGCGCAGCCACGGGGCUGGGGAGCUGCGAGGGCAAGAGGCAGAGGGCUCAGCCCCAUGACUGCUGGGGGAGGGAGAUGCUCCCAGCACUGCCACAGAUGCAAACAAAGGUGCCGAGCAGAUGCAGGACCUUGAGGACCCACGGUUUUCCCUCUUCGCCACGUCCCCCAGUGCUGUAG